RNAcentral lists this ribosomal RNA (417 nucleotides) under uncultured archaeon. RNAcentral describes it as "partial 16S ribosomal RNA". It matches the Rfam family "Archaeal small subunit ribosomal RNA", at positions 330 to 747 of the family's 1478-position model. The record is from RNAcentral.
GCGCAGCAGUCGCGAAAACUUCGCAAUACGCGCAAGCGUGACGAGGGAACCCCCAGUCCUCUUGCUUUUUGCCGGCGUUUUUGCCAUGUGUAAACAGCUUGGAGAAUAAGGGCGGGGUAAGGCCUGUGCCAGCCGCCGCGGUAAUACCAGCCGCCCGAGUCGUGGCCACUAUUAUUGGGCCUAAAGCGUCCGUAGCCGGUUUUGUAAGUUUCUGGGUAAAUCCCACAGCUUAACUGCGGGAAUUCCAGAAAUACUGCAGAGCUAGGAGCCGGGAGACGCAGAAGGUACUCCUGGGGUAGGGGUGAAAUCCUAUAAUCCUAGGGGGACCACCAGUGGCGAAGGCGUUCUGCGAGAACGGGCUCGACGGUGAGGGACGAAAGCCAGGGGCGCAAACGGGAUUAGAUACCCCCGUAGUCC